CAGUCGCCGCGGUAAUACAGAGGGUGCGAGCGUUAAUCGGAUUUACUGGGCGUAAAGCGUGCGUAGGCGGCUUCUUAAGUCGGAUGUGAAAUCCCUGAGCUUAACUUAGGAAUUGCAUUCGAUACUGGGAAGCUAGAGUAUGGGAGAGGAUGGUAGAAUUCCAGGUGUAGCGGUGAAAUGCGUAGAGAUCUGGAGGAAUACCGAUGGCGAAGGCAUCCAUCUGGCCUAAUACUGACGCUGAGGUACGAAAGCAUGGGGAGCAAACAGGAUUAGAUACCCCUGUAGUCCCUGUCUCUUAUAC
RNAcentral lists this ribosomal RNA (301 nucleotides) under uncultured bacterium. RNAcentral's name for it is "partial 16S ribosomal RNA". It matches the Rfam family "Bacterial small subunit ribosomal RNA", at positions 509 to 807 of the family's 1533-position model. The record is from RNAcentral.